GAAAGUCCAUUUCCAGAUCUUGAUUCGAAGAUCCACUUUGCAUUUCACAUUUGAAGUAGUAGCUUUAGUCGGAGUUUUGCCGGAAGGAACAGUAAUUUUAAUACCACUGCAUUUAACUCGAAUUCCGACUUUCUUCGUUUUCAAGCUUCCAACUUUGACUUUAACUUUUGUAUCAAGCUUUAUCUCCAAUGGCAGACUCUUCUUAUUCUUCAAUUUAGAUUUCAGAUUAGAAAUCGCAGAAUCGUCCAGGUUUUUUCCUGAACUUGACACUACUGUCUUCAACGUCGUUGUGUUUUUCCUAUUAUGCGUAAAAGCCGGUAACGAUCCGUCUCCGAUAUCAACAUCGGCGGAAUUGAACGAAAUGUUAAUAGGAUCGUAGAAGAAAGAGAUCUUUUUGUUUGGAUUACGAGCAACAACGGUGAGACUGAAUUUCGACGCGAGUUUCGUAGAAGUAAGAUUUAAUUGAGAGACUUGAAGAGUAGAAACAGAGAAGGAAGGCCUCUGAGGACGGUAAAGUACCCAGAAAAUCGCACCGGCAAUUGCAGCAAGUAGAACAAUAGUGAUUAUGAAUAAGGUAAUAAACAGGCAACAACAACAACAGCAGCUCCGUCGGUGUUUACGGCGGGGAGGCGGCAUAGGACGGUAAGUAGGUCUAGCAGCGUUGUAAAGUUGAGCUUUGUUCGCCGGAAACGUCUGAUUAGCUCCGCCGUUGGCGGCGGCGGCGGCGGCAGGAGCGGGAGCCGGAGCAGCAGUGCCAUUAGGAACAGCUGGUUUAGCAGCUGGGUAUACUCUAUCCGCCAUAAUAGAAACUUUUGGAAGAAGAAAAAAAUUAAGGAUUAGGGUUUUCUUUGUAUGUGUGUUAUAUAUAGAGAAAAAAUGGAGAAUAAAUUAAUGGUGAAU
Molecule: unclassified non-coding RNA, 900 nt
Filed under: Hevea brasiliensis (rubber tree)
Lineage: Eukaryota; Viridiplantae; Streptophyta; Magnoliopsida; Malpighiales; Euphorbiaceae
Source: RNAcentral